Molecule: ribosomal RNA, 468 nt
Filed under: uncultured bacterium
Lineage: Bacteria
Description: partial 16S ribosomal RNA
Rfam family: Bacterial small subunit ribosomal RNA
Source: RNAcentral
GACGAACGCUGGCGGCGGGCUUAACACAUGCAAGUCGAACGGAAAGGCCCUGCGAGCGUGGGGUGCUCGAGGGGCGAAGGGGGGAGGAAGACGUGAGUAACGUGCCCUAGACUUUGGGAGAACAUCAGGAAAGGGGGGCUAAGAUCGGAUAGGAGAUGCUGCAGCAUGGUGGGGGGUGGAAAGUUUCGGCGGGUGGGGAUGGACGCGCGGCUUAUCAGCUGGUUGGUGGGGUAGUGGCUGACCAAGGCUUUGACGGGUAGCCGGCCGGAGAGGGUGACCGGCCACCUUGGUCCUGCGAUACGGCCCAGACUCCUACGUGAGGCAGCAGUGGCGAAUCUUGCACAAUGGGCCGACGCCUGAUGCAGCAACGCCGCGUGCGGGAUGCCGGCCUUCGGGUUGUAAACCGCUUUCGCCUGUGACGAAGCGUUAGUGACGGUACUGAGUAAAGAAGCACCGGCUAACUACGUG